Molecule: long non-coding RNA, 402 nt
Organism: Capsella rubella
Lineage: Eukaryota; Viridiplantae; Streptophyta; Magnoliopsida; Brassicales; Brassicaceae
Exons: 2
Source: RefSeq, a predicted model, not a curated record
UGUGGAUCUUGGAAUCGCAUGGUCCGCAGAGAAACGCUGCGUCUGCUCGGCAGAAUAGUGUCGCUGCCGUUGAUUUGCACGAGUCGCAUAAAAUUGACUCUUGGUGGUGCUGUGGAAAUGGCGAUUGGAUUGGACGCGCUGAGAUGGGUCAUGGAGAUCUGAGAGUAACGAAUAAAGAGAUGACACGUGUUAGUGAACCUUAGCCGAAUAGUGAGACAUUGCGGAGAGGUGGACCUAGACUCCUAGUAAUGUGAUGUGAAGUGAUUUUCUUGGGACUUUCAUAAUUUUUUUCGGAAUUUUUUUCUUACUUCUUUUUUUGUCGGCAAGUGAAUUCGGAUUUAAACGUUUGUGUCUUUUACUGUUACCGAACCAAAAUUUUCGAAUUAAACCGGUUUUUGGUCA